RNAcentral lists this long non-coding RNA (253 nucleotides) under Cricetulus griseus (Chinese hamster). RNAcentral describes it as "lncRNA (ENSCGRG00000024722.1)". The record is from RNAcentral. Lineage: Eukaryota; Metazoa; Chordata; Mammalia; Rodentia; Cricetidae.
GAAGUACCAAGGUGGAAGAACACUGUCUGGCUCAAGAUGAAUGCUCACUCUCCUGAACCAUCUGGAUCUGCUAAUUCUUCAGUCUCAGAGUUGAAUCAAGCAAAUAUUUGGAGGUAAUGGAUUUCCUCAGCAAGGGAUCGGGCUAAUUUUAAGAGUGUAGGUGAGUUUCAUCUUGAGCCUUUGAAGAAUGUCUGAAAUCACUAGAGGUUGAGUACAUCACUGAGAGGAGCCCUGUAAAAUAUAUAAAGCCUAG